GCUCGACAGCAAAGUAUCCUGCGACCCUUACUGUAGCAAUGGGCGAGCGGCACCAGUGAAGACGUAGACAACCGCGCCUCUUCCCCAUCUACCGAUUCGGGAAUGAAACUAAACGGUAGCCGUGGAGGGGAAACUAGUUUUAAAAUGUUGGCGGUUUCGGAAAGAUAGAUUUGUGCCGAGAAGCCUAUUUUAGGUUGUUUACGUGAGGAGACGAGUUCGAGUCAAGCAUGCAGAAAAUCUUCGUAAGUUAACUUCGUU
Long non-coding RNA from Phalaenopsis equestris, 258 nucleotides. RefSeq lists it as uncharacterized. The record is from RefSeq and is a predicted model, not a curated record. The transcript is spliced from 3 exons. Lineage: Eukaryota; Viridiplantae; Streptophyta; Magnoliopsida; Asparagales; Orchidaceae.